This 507-nucleotide ribosomal RNA is filed under the name uncultured bacterium. Its description in RNAcentral is "bacterial SSU rRNA". It matches the Rfam family "Bacterial small subunit ribosomal RNA", at positions 8 to 518 of the family's 1533-position model. The record is from RNAcentral.
AGAGUUUGAUCCUGGCUCAGGAUGAACGCUGGCGGCGUGCUUAACACAUGCAAGUCGAACGGAGUUUUAACGGAAGUUUCGGAUGGAAGUUAAAACUAGUGGCGGACGGGUGAGUAACGCGUGGGUAACCUGCCUCAUACAGGGGGAUAACAGUUAGAAAUGACUGCUAACACCGCAUAAUAUAGCGAAACCGCAUGAUUUUGCUAUCAAAUAUUUAUAGGGUAUGGAGAUGGGCCCGCGUCUGAUUAGCUAGUUGGUGGGGUAAAAGCCUACCAAGGCGACGAUCAGUAGCCGGCUUGAGAGAGUGACCGGCCACAUUGGGACUGAGACACGGCCCAAACUCCUACGGGAGGCAGCAGUGGGGAAUAUUGGACAAUGGGGGAAACCCUGAUCCAGCGAACCGCCGCGUGAGUGAAGAAGUAUUUCGGUAUGUAAAGCUCUAUCAGCAGGGAAGAUAAUGACAGUACCUGACUAAGAAGCCCCGGCUAACUACGUGCCAGCCGCUGC